RNAcentral lists this microRNA precursor (72 nucleotides) under Ovis aries (sheep). RNAcentral describes it as "miRNA (ENSOARG00000024760.1)". Lineage: Eukaryota; Metazoa; Chordata; Mammalia; Artiodactyla; Bovidae. The record is from RNAcentral.
UUGAGCUUGCCAAAAAGUUAGUUUGGGUUUUUCUGUGUUAUGGAAAAACCCAAAUGGACUUUUUGAUCAAUC